This is an RNA transcript of Bactrocera oleae (olive fruit fly), 3082 nucleotides long. It is a transcript of the gene named replication protein A 70, with no coding region annotated. NCBI's taxonomy places the organism in Eukaryota, Metazoa, Arthropoda, Insecta, Diptera, Tephritidae. The record is from RefSeq and is a predicted model, not a curated record.
AAUCAAUUUUUUUUUUAGUAUUCACUGACAAACUUCUAACAAAUUUUGUUCGAUGACUAUUAGAUAUAAACAUAAUAAUCUUAAAUUUGCUUAAUGCGAACAUUUCAUAACUUUUAGUACAUUCUAUAGUGAAUACUAAAUGCGUAUUCCCGCCUGUUUUAAAAUCGAUUGACAGCGUCUGCGAAUUUCUACAGAAGUUGCAAAAAAUAUUGUAAAUUUUUGUAAGACUAAAUAUUUAAGAAAUUUUUCGGAAAAUAAAAAACAAUUGAAACUAAUUAUAGUUAAAUUUUUGUUCAUUAAAGAAAGAAAAAUAUAUUAAACUAUGACGGGCAUAGCUCCUUUAUCUACUGGCGUUAUAGAGCGCAUUAUGCGAGGCGAGGAAGUAGAUAAGCCUGUUUUGCAAAUUCUGGGUACAAAGAAAAUUACUGGCGGUGAAACCGAUCGUUUGCGUUUACUAAUUUCAGAUGGAAAAUUUAUCAACAGUUAUUCCAUGUUAGCAACUCAACUCAAUCAUUUACAUGCAGAAGGUAAACUCUCGGAAUAUACUAUAGUUCGAGUAGACAAAUACAUAACAUCAGUUGUCAACGGCAAGGAUGCUGGAAAGCGUGUGCUCAUAAUACUCGAAUUAAGUGUGUUAAAUCCGGGGACUGAAGUUGGUAAAAAGAUAGGUACACCAGUCUCAUAUACCGAAGAAGCCGCAGCACAAAGUAAUAAAGCGAGUGCAAACAACAGUAGUGCUGUUACGAAACCUUCAGCAAAGAGCGUUGCAAAGAAAGCGGAUACUAAGCCUACUCUUUACAACAACAAUAAUAAUAACACAUUGAACCAAUCAUUGACCGCGGGAUUAACUCAUCCCAUCUCCAGCUUAAGUCCAUAUCAAAAUAAAUGGGUUAUUAAAGCGCGUGUCACGGCAAAAGGUCCAAUGCGCACUUGGAGUAAUGCAAAGGGUGAAGGUAAACUUUUUAGUAUGGAUCUAAUGGAUGAAUCUGGAGAGAUACGCGCAACAGCGUUUCGUGAACAAGCUGAGAAAUUUUAUGAUAUAAUUGAAGUCGACCGUGUUUACUAUAUAUCGAAAUGCCAGCUGAAGCCUGCGAAUAAACAGUUUACCACGUUGAAAAAUGAUUAUGAAAUGACACUAACUGGCGAAACACAAAUCCAAGCAUGCGAGGAAGAUGACAAUGAUAUACCAGAAAUUAAAUACGAUUUGGUCCCCAUAUCUGAGUUAGUGAACCUAGAGGCUCGUACAAGUAUUGAUACAAUUGGUAUUUGCAAAGAAGUUGGGGAAUUACAAACAUUUACCUCUCGCACUACGAAUAAGGAAUUCAAAAAGCGUGAAUUGACACUGGUUGACUCCAGCAAUGCUGCUGUGAAUUUAACAUUGUGGGGCGAGGAUGCUGUUAACUUCGAUGGCUACGUGCAGCCAGUGAUUUUAGUCAAAGGUGUACGCGUGACUGAAUUUAAUGGCGGUAAAAGUAUAAGCAUGGGCAAUGGAUCGGUUAUGAAAAUAAACCCGGACAUAUCGGAAGGUCAUAAGCUGCGUGGCUGGUUCGAUAACGGUGGCGGGGAACACAUUUCAAAUAUGAUUUCCACCAGAACCGGUGGUGCUGGCGGGGGUUUUAGCACCGAGUGGUUAACGUUUCAUGAGGCACGCAGUCGAAAUUUAGGCGCUGGCGACAAGCCAGAUUAUUUCCAAUGCAAAGCUGUUGUACAUAUAGUUAAAUGUCAGAAUGCAUUCUACAAGGCUUGCCCGCAAGCGGAUUGCAACAAAAAGGUUAUCGACGAAAAUAACGGUCAUUAUCGUUGCGAGCGUUGUAAUGCCGUCUUUCCCAACUUCAAAUACAGACUAUUAAUUAAUAUGAGCAUUGGCGAUUGGACAUCAAAUCGUUGGGUCACUUGCUUCAGCGAAGUGGGUGAACAACUGUUGAAGCGUUCGGCACAGGAAAUCGGCGAUCUACUCGAAAAUAAUCCACCAGAAGGUGAAGAGGUUCUCUCCUCUAUCAACUUCAAUUCGUACAUAUUUAAAUUGCGCAGCAAAAUGGAACAAUUUGGUGAUAUGCAACGUAAUAAGCUGACAGUACAAUCUGUCGCACCAUUGGAUUACAAGGAGUACAAUAAAUAUUUAAUAAACAAUCUUAAAGAGUUAACUGGCAUUAACAAAAAUUAAUUCAUCUUCAUGUUAAAUAUUAAUACAUACUUUUUUUUUAUUCUUAAAGCACUUUUCUAAUACAAAAAUGAAUUUAAGUUAAAUGGAUCUGUUUAGAAAAUAAUUAGUAUUGGGUGAUUACAGUUGCAACAUCAUCCGUUUUUGGUGUUGUAUCGACAAAAAAUAUUCCUUCUCGAAAUUACGAGGAAAGGUGCCAAGUUGGCAGCAUAAAAAUUCGGGUCCGUGCGGAACGUUCAUAUUUUGACAUAAUGACUUACGAUCAACUUAAAUCAAUCAAUAAAUGCAUUACCGUAUCUUUGUCGGGAAGAGUUCGAAGUUAGUUCGUGAUGCAGGGUUUCAACGCAGGCAAGAUCGAGCGUCAAAUGGAUGAAAGGCGAAAGAAGAAAAAUUAGACUAAUUCUCUCGACUUUUCAUGUUUAAACGAUUUUCCACAUUUCGGAUUCUUCAUGAAUGACCAGCGAUAAAUGAUAAAAAUGUAGGUGGUGUGAUGUACUUCGACGCCUUGCAACCGCUUGAGUAGGAGGAAUAAUCCCAAAACUACAGUCGGGUUUACGUAAGCGAAACGGAUCCUGGUUUUUGUUCGGCCAAGGACUAUCAACCGAGCAACCUUUCUCAAAAAAUUUUGUGAAACGUUUUUUUGUCACUACAUCAACAACAACAAAGAAUCAAGGAGACAAAUAUUUCAAACCCAUUUUUUCUCAAAUCAGAUUUAAAUAUUAAAUUUUUAUUUCAUAUUUUCUAUUUCCAAAAUGUUUGGGAUUAAAAAUAAUGUUUUUAAUUUUAAGUAUUAGGUUAUAAUUUGCAGUAUAUUUUAUUUAUUUAAGAUAAAAAAGAACGAGAAAAAAGAAGGAACAUAUUUCUAACUCAAACACUAUAAUUAAAAGCAAUUAAAUAUAUAUAUGGCAAGAAGAACCAAAA